GAUGAACGCUGGCGGCGUGCCUAAUACAUGCAAGUCGAGCGAACAGAUGAGGAGCUUGCUCCUCUGACGUUAGCGGCGGACGGGUGAGUAACACGUGGAUAACCUACCUAUAAGACUGGGAUAACUUCGGGAAACCGGAGCUAAUACCGGAUAAUAUAUUGAACCGCAUGGUUCAAUAGUGAAAGACGGUUUUGCUGUCACUUAUAGAUGGAUCCGCGCCACAUUAGCUAGUUGGUAAGGUAACGGCUUACCAAGGCAACGAUGCGUAGCCGACCUGAGAGGGUGAUCGGCCACACUGGAACUGAGACACGGUCCAGACUCCUACGGGAGGCAGCAGUAGGGAAUCGUCCGCAAUGGGCGAAAGCCUGACGGAGCAACGCCGCGUGAGUGAUGAAGGUCUUCGGAUCGUAAAACUCUGUUAUUAGGGAAGAACAAAUGUGUAAGUAACUAUGCACGGCUUGACGGUACCUAAUCAGAAAGCCACGGCUAACUACGUG
This 497-nucleotide ribosomal RNA is filed under the name uncultured bacterium. RNAcentral's name for it is "partial 16S ribosomal RNA". It matches the Rfam family "Bacterial small subunit ribosomal RNA", at positions 28 to 507 of the family's 1533-position model. The record is from RNAcentral.